Molecule: ribosomal RNA, 836 nt
Filed under: uncultured sediment bacterium
Lineage: Bacteria
Description: bacterial SSU rRNA
Rfam family: Bacterial small subunit ribosomal RNA
Source: RNAcentral
AGUGGGCGGAAUGUAGCAUGUAGCGGUGAAAUGCAUAGAUAUGCUACAGAACACCGAUCGCGAAGGCAGCUCACUAAGCCAACACUGACGCUCAGGCACGAAAGCGUGGGUAGCGAACAGGAUUAGAUACCCUGGUAGUCCACGCCGUAAACGAUGAUUACUCGUUGUUGGCGACACACAGUCAGCGACCAAGCGAAAGCGAUAAGUAAUCCACCUGGGGAGUACGUUCGCAAGAAUGAAACUCAAAGGAAUUGACGGGGGCCCGCACAAGCGGUGGAGCAUGUGGUUUAAUUCGAUGAUACGCGAGGAACCUUACCUGGGCUCAAAUGCUGGAUGACAGUCCCUGAAAGGGGAUUUUCUUCGGACAUUCAGCAAGGUGCUGCAUGGUUGUCGUCAGCUCGUGCCGUGAGGUGUCGGGUUAAGUCCCAUAACGAGCGCAACCCCUAUCAUUAGUUGCCAUCAGGUAAAGCUGGGGACUCUAAUGAAACUGCCUACGCAAGUAGAGAGGAAGGUGGGGAUGACGUCAAAUCAGCACGGCCCUUACGUCCAGGGCUACACACGUGCUACAAUGGCCGGUACAGAGGGCAGCCACCCCGCGAGGGGGAGCGAAUCUCGAAAGCCGGUCUCAGUUCGGAUCGAAGUCUGCAACCCGACUUCGUGAAGCUGGAAUCGCUAGUAAUCGCGCAUCAGCCAUGGCGCGGUGAAUACGUUCCCGGGCCUUGUACACACCGCCCGUCAAGCCAUGGAAGCUGGGGGUACCUGAAGUCGGUAACCACGCCACCGGCGUGGAGCUGCCUAGGGUAAAACCAGUGACUGGGGCUAAGUCGUAACAAGGU